ACUCUAAGCGGUGGAUCACUCGGCUCAUGGGUCGAUGAAGAACGCAGCAAACUGUGCGUCAUCGUGUGAACUGCAGGACACAUGAACAUCGACAUUUUGAACGCAUAUCGCAGUCCAUGCUGUUUGGUACUUUAAUUAAUUUUAUAGUGCUGCUUGGACUACAUAUGGUUGAGGGUUGUAAGACUAUGCUAAAUAAGUUGUUUAAAAAUUUUACGAAAUUUUUAAGCAUAUUGUAUAUUAUUGGAUAUGUAUAUAUAUAUAUAUUCAUAAUAUUGAUAUUAAAUGGAAACGCAUUAUCUCUCAUUGUUGUAUAUAUUUGUGUGAGAAGAACGAAGAAAAAUAUAUAUUUUUUGUCCUUUUUGAAUCAAAUAAUACUGAGGAAUGUCUAGCAUAAAAAAAUAAUUAAAGUUUUUCAUCUAGAAUUGCCUCUUAUUAAUGUUUCGAAAGGAAAUUUUGUUGUAAAUAUAAAUAUUUAAUAUUCUUCGUGAUAUUCGUUAUAAAAUACGAAUAUUAUAAUGAUUUCAUUAUGAGAACGCUCUAUAUAUAUAAUAAUAUAGUGUAAUUAUCAUUAUAAAUUUUAAUAUACGUAUAUACAACCUCAACUCAUAUGGGACUACCCCCUGAAUUUAAGCAUUUAAUUAGGGAGGAAAAGAAACUAACCAGGAUUUUCUUAGUAGCGGCGAGCGAAAAGAAAUCAGUUCAGCACUAAGUCACUUUGUCUAUAUGGCAAACGUGAGAUGCAGUGUAUGGAGCGUCAAUAUUCUAGUAUGAGAAAUUAACGAUUUAAGUCCUUCUUAAAUGAGGCCAUUUACCCAUAGAGGGUGCCAGGCCGUAUAACGUUAAUGAUUACUAGAUGAUGUUUCCAAAGAGUCGUGUUGCUUGAUAGUGCAGCACUAAGUGGGUGGUAAACUCCAUCUAAAACUAAAUAUAACCAUGAGACCGAUAGUAAACAAGUACCGUGAGGGAAAGUUGAAAAGAACUCUGAAUAGAGAGUUAAACAGUACGUGAAACUGCUUAGAGGUUAAGCCCGAUGAACCUGAAUAUCCGUUAUGGAAAAUUCAUCAUUAAAGUUGUAAUAUUUUAACAAUAUUAUAAUAAUAGUGUGCAUUUUUUCCAUAUAAGGACAUUGUAAUCUAUUAGCAUAUAACAAAUUUAUCAUAAAAUAUGACUUAUAGUUUAUUCAAAUUAUUAUGCUUGCAUUUUAACAUAGAAUAAAUGUCAUUAAUUUGAUAAAGUGUUGAUAAAUUAAAAUUAAUACAGUGCGUUAAUUUUUCGAAAUUAUAUAAUGGCAUAAUUAUCAUUGAUUUUUGUGUUUAUUAUAUGCAUUUGUAUGAUUAACAAUGCGAAAGAUUCAGGAUACCUUCGGGACCCGUCUUGAAACACGGACCAAGGAGUCUAACAUAUGUGCAAGUUAUUGGAGAUAAACCUAAUAGCGUAAUUAACUUGACUAAUAAUGGGAUUAGUUUUUUAACUAUUUAUAGAUAAUUAACACAAUCCGGGGCGUUCUAUAUAGUUAUGUAUGAUAAUAUUUAUAUUAUUAUGCCUCUAACUGGAACGUACCUUGAGCAUAUAUGCUGUGACCCGAAAGAUGGUGAACUAUACUUGAUCAGGUUGAAGUCAGGGGAAACCCUGAUGGAAGACCGAAACAGUUCUGACGUGCAAAUCGAUUGUCAGAAUUGAGUAUAGGGGCGAAAGACCAAUCGAACCAUCUAGUAGCUGGUUCCUUCCGAAGUUUCCCUCAGGAUAGCUGGUGCAUUUUAAUGUUAUAUAAAAUAAUCUUAUCUGGUAAAGCGAAUGAUUAGAGGCCUUAGGGUCGAAACGAUCUUAACCUAUUCUCAAACUUUAAAUGGGUAAGAACCUUAACUUUCUUGAUAUGAAGUUUAAGGUUAUGAUAUAAUGUGCCCAGUGGGCCACUUUUGGUAAGCAGAACUGGCGCUGUGGGAUGAACCAAACGUAAUGUUACGGUGCCCAAAUUAACAACUCAUGCAGAAACCAUGAAAGGCGUUGGUUGCUUAAAACAGCAGGACGGUGAUCAUGGAAGUCGAAAUCCGCUAAGGAGUGUGUAACAACUCACCUGCCGAAGCAACUAGCCCUUAAAAUGGAUGGCGCUUAAGUUGUAUACCUAUACAUUACCGCUAAAGUAGAUGAUUUAUAUUACUUGUGAUAUAAAUUUUGAAAACUUUAGUGAGUAGGAAGGUACAAUGGUAUGCGUAGAAGUGUUUGGCGUAAGCCUUCAUGGAGCUGCCAUUGGCACAGAUCUUGGUGGUAGUAGCAAAUAAUCGAAUGAGACCUUGGAGGACUGAAGUGGAGAAGGGUUUCGUGUGAACAGUGGUUGAUCACGAGUUAGUCGGUCCUAAGUUCAAGGCGAAAGCCGAAAAUUUUCAAGUAAAAAAUCAGUGAGUAAUAUUGUCAAAUCUUUUAUGAUUUUUAAAUACUUGAAUAAUUUUUGAACGAAAGGGAAUACGGUUCCAAUUCCGUAACCUGUUGAGUAUCCGUUUGUUAUUAAAUAUGGGCCUCGUGCUCAUCCUGGCAACAGGA
Molecule: ribosomal RNA, 2538 nt
Filed under: Drosophila pseudoobscura pseudoobscura
Lineage: Eukaryota; Metazoa; Arthropoda; Insecta; Diptera; Drosophilidae
Description: eukaryotic LSU rRNA
Rfam family: Eukaryotic large subunit ribosomal RNA (bases 594-2538)
Source: RNAcentral